Molecule: ribosomal RNA, 253 nt
Filed under: uncultured bacterium
Lineage: Bacteria
Description: partial 16S ribosomal RNA
Rfam family: Bacterial small subunit ribosomal RNA
Source: RNAcentral
GACGGAGGGUGCUAGCGUUGUUCGGAAUUACUGGGCGUAAAGGGCGCGUAGGCGGCCUGGUCAGUCGGAUGUGAAAGCCCGGGGCUCAACCCCGGAACGGCAUCCGAGACGGCCAGGCUGGAGACCGGGAGAGGAGAGUGGAAUAGCCAGUGUAGAGGUGAAAUUCGUAGAUAUUGGCUGGAACACCGGAGGCGAAGGCGAAUCACUGGACCGCUUCUGACGCUGAGGCGCGAAAGCUAGGGGAGCAAACAGG